UACGAAGGGGGCUAGCGUUGCUCGGAAUGACUGGGCGUAAAGGGCGCGUAGGCGGCCGAUCAAGUCAGAUGUGAAAGUCCUGGGCUUAACCUGGGGACUGCAUUUGAUACUGAUUGGCUUGAAUGCAGGAGAGGAUAGCGGAAUUCCCAGUGUAGAGGUGAUAUUCGUAGAUAUUGGGAAGAACACCGGUGGCGAAGGCGGCUAUCUGGACUGUGAUUGACGCUGAGGCGCGAAAGCGUGGGGAGCAAACAGG
This 253-nucleotide ribosomal RNA is filed under the name uncultured bacterium. RNAcentral describes it as "partial 16S ribosomal RNA". It matches the Rfam family "Bacterial small subunit ribosomal RNA", at positions 524 to 776 of the family's 1533-position model. The record is from RNAcentral.